GCGUGGGUAACCUGGCCCAUACAGGGGGAUAACACUUAGAAAUAGGUGCUAAUACCGCAUAACAACAGAAAGCGCAUGCUUUUUGUUUGAAAACCAAGGUGGUGUGGGAUGGACCCGCGUCUGAUUAGCUGGUUGGCGGGGUAAAGGCCCACCAAGGCGACGAUCAGUAGCCGGCCUGAGAGGGUGGACGGCCACAUUGGGACUGAGACACGGCCCAAACUCCUACGGGAGGCAGCAGUGGGGAAUAUUGCACAAUGGGGGAAACCCUGAUGCAGCAACGCCGCGUGAGUGAAGAAGUAAUUCGUUAUGUAAAGCUCUAUCAGCAGGGAAGAAAAUGACGGUACCUGAGUAAGAAGCCCCGGCUAACUACGUGCCAGCAGCCGCGGUAAUACGUAGGGGGCAAGCGUUAUCCGGAUUUACUGGGUGUAAAGGGAGCGUAGACGGCAGUGCAAGUCUGGAGUGAAAGGCGGGGGCUCAACCCCCGGACUGCUCUGGGAACUGUACGGCUGGAGUGCAGGAGAGGUAAGUGGAAUUCCUAGUGUAGCGGUGAAAUGCGUAGAUAUUAGGAGGAACACCAGUGGCGAAGGCGGCUUACUGGACUGUAACUGACGUUGAGGCUCGAAAGCGUGGGGAGCAAACAGGAUUAGAUACCCUGGUAGUCCACGCCGUAAACGAUGAUCACUAGGUGU
This 689-nucleotide ribosomal RNA is filed under the name uncultured bacterium. Its description in RNAcentral is "bacterial SSU rRNA". It matches the Rfam family "Bacterial small subunit ribosomal RNA", at positions 115 to 823 of the family's 1533-position model. The record is from RNAcentral.